GCGAGGCUCCACCGGAAAAGCCUCCCUAGGUGGUCCUGGGAGUCGGGACUUCCACCUCCGGGUCCUCAUGAAUGUUCUCGCAGGCCACCAGCUCUAUUUCCCUUAUUCUCUUUCACCAAACUAUUUACCUGUCCAGUUACAACGUGCAAGGUGGUUCCCCAAGGGGCAGUGCUUGUCAAGGUGUUUUCCGGACUGAAGAAGGAGGACUGUAUUGACAUGGUCUUUAGCAACUGCCUGUGAAAUAACUGCAGUCCUGUUGGUGAGAAAUCUUUGAAACAAAUUCAUUAGGCAUAACAGUAAUAAACAGAUGAGCAAAAAGAAGGAAAUAGAC
Molecule: long non-coding RNA, 331 nt
Filed under: Chinchilla lanigera (long-tailed chinchilla)
Lineage: Eukaryota; Metazoa; Chordata; Mammalia; Rodentia; Chinchillidae
Description: lncRNA (ENSCLAG00000029293.1)
Source: RNAcentral